Molecule: ribosomal RNA, 2421 nt
Filed under: Triticum aestivum (bread wheat)
Lineage: Eukaryota; Viridiplantae; Streptophyta; Magnoliopsida; Poales; Poaceae
Description: partial small subunit ribosomal RNA
Source: RNAcentral
AUGGCGUCCUCCUCCCAGUCCCACUCCCACCAAGAAGAAGAAGACCAUGGCGACCAGAUCACCGCCCCACUCCUCCCGAACCGGCCGUCAACGUCACGGAGCUCGCCGGAGCACCACGACGACGGCCAUGGCGAAUCGUCGGAGAACUCGCCGAUCGAGCAGGUGGCGCUGACGGUGCCCGUGGGCGACGACCCGGACACUCCAGUCCUCACCUUCCGGAUGUGGGUGCUGGGCAUGGCGUCCUGCGUCGUGCUCUCCUUCCUCAACCAGUUCUUCUGGUACCGCAAGGAGCCGCUCACCAUCACCGCCAUCUCCGCUCAGAUCGCCGUCGUGCCACUCGGCCGCCUCAUGGCCGCGGCGCUGCCGGAGCGGGCCUUCUUCCGCGGCUCGCGCUGGGAGUUCACCCUCAACCCGGGGCCGUUCAACGUGAAAGAGCACGUGCUCAUCACCAUCUUCGCCAACGCUGGCGCCGGCACCGUGUACGCCAUCCACGUGGUCACCGCCGUCCGCGUUUUCUACGGCAAGAACCUCACCUUCUUGGUCUCUCUCCUCGUGGUGCUCACCACGCAGGUGCUCGGGUUCGGGUGGGCGGGGAUUUUCCGGCGGUACCUCGUGGAGCCGGCGGCCAUGUGGUGGCCGUCCAACCUCGUGCAGGUCUCCCUCUUCAGGGCGCUCCAUGAGGAUGAAAGGCGGCGAAAAGGGGGAUUCACGCGCAACCAGUUCUUCCUGGUGGCGUUCGCCUGCAGCUUCGCAUACUAUGCCUUCCCGGGCUACCUGUUCCAGAUGCUCACCUCACUCUCCUGGAUCUGCUGGGUGUUCCCCAACUCCGUGUUCGCCCAGCAGCUCGGCUCAGGCCUCCACGGGCUCGGCGUCGGCGCAAUCGGUCUCGACUGGGCAUCGAUCUCCAGCUACCUCGGGAGCCCUCUCGUCAGCCCCUGGUUCGCCACUGCGAAUGUUGCUGCAGGCUUCUUCGUCGUUAUGUACAUCAUCGUGCCUAUUGGGUAUUGGUUUGAUUUCUAUAAGGCGCAGACCUUCCCCAUCUUCUCUUCCGGUCUCUUCACCUCUGCCGGGCAGAAGUACAACAUCUCAGCUAUCGUGGACGAUAAUUUCCAUCUCGAUACAGAGGCAUAUGAGAAAAACGGUCCACUGUACCUCAGCACUCUCUUUGCUGUCACAUAUGGUAUCGGUUUCGCGUCACUUACCGCGACAAUUGUUCAUGUCCUCCUGUUUCACGGAAGGGAAAUUUUGCAGCUAAGCAGAUCAGCUUUUCAAGGGAAAAGUGUGGACAUACAUACCAAGCUAAUGAGGAGAUAUAAGCAGGUCCCUGAGUGGUGGUUCAUCUGCAUCCUUGUCGUUAACAUUGCCGUCACUGUAUUCGCUUGUGAAUACUACAUAGAGCAGCUCCAGCUGCCCUGGUGGGGUGUGUUACUUGCAUGCGGCAUUGCCUUUUUCUUCACCCUCCCAAUCGGAAUUAUCACAGCGACAACAAACCAGACCCCAGGACUGAACAUCAUCACAGAGUACAUCAUUGGAUACCUGUAUCCCGGACGACCCGUUGCGAAUAUGUGCUUCAAGGUAUACGGCUAUAUCAGCAUGCACCAAGCUCUGAUGUUUCUGCAAGAUUUUAAGUUGGGGCACUACAUGAAGAUUCCCCCAAGGACCAUGUUUAUGGCUCAGGUGGUCGGAACAACGAUCGCGGCGUUCGUGUACCUUGGGACAGCAUGGUGGUUGAUGGACACAAUCCCCAACAUCUGCGACAUUGAGCUCCUCUCGGCGGGCAGCCCUUGGACCUGCCCCGGUGAUCAUGUGUUCUAUGAUGCGUCGGUCAUAUGGGGUCUUAUUGGCCCGCGCAGAAUAUUCGGGGACCUGGGAACUUACGCGGCGGUGAACUGGUUCUUCUUGGGGGGAGCUGUCGCCCCACUCCUCGUAUGGUUGGCGCACAGGGCGUUCCCAGGCCAGAACUGGAUCUUACUCAUCAACAUGCCCGUGAUGCUCGGUUCCAUCUUCCAGAUGCCGCCCGCCACAGCGGUUAACUACACCACAUGGAUACUGAUUGGGUUUCUGUCAGGUUAUGUGGUUUAUAGGUAUCGACGUGACUGGUGGGAGCGGCACAAUUACCUGCUCUCGGGUGCACUAGAUGCUGGUCUGGCGUUCAUGGCAGUUUUGAUUUACUUGUGCCUGGGCUUGGAGAACAUCAGUUUGAACUGGUGGGGAAAUGACUUGGAUGGAUGUCCCCUGGCUUCUUGCCCCACUGCUAAAGAGACAAGGAUAGAGGCAAUGAUCAACUACUGCUCUGACACAGUGACACUAGCAGUCCAGAUUUCUGCCCUCCAAGACUUGAAUGAAACCAUGCUGAUAAUCUUCUUAUUUCACGACAGAGUUAGCCGCCGGCAACUCGCUUCAUCCCACGUGGGGACGUAA